RNAcentral lists this ribosomal RNA (2054 nucleotides) under gut metagenome. Its description in RNAcentral is "bacterial LSU rRNA". It matches the Rfam family "Bacterial large subunit ribosomal RNA", at positions 1 to 1996 of the family's 2925-position model. The record is from RNAcentral.
GCAAGAUACCACGGGCGCACGGCGGAUGCCUUGGCACAGGGAGCCGAUGAAGGACGCGGCAAGCUGCGAUAAUCCCCGGCGAGGAGCACACAUCCUUCGACCCGGGGGUCUCCGAAUGGGCGAACCCAUCCGUAGCGGUACGGAUAUCCCCCCGCUGAACGCAUAGGCGGGGGGAGGACAACCCGGGGAACUGAAACAUCUAAGUACCCGGAGGAGAGGAAAUCAAUCUCGAGACUCCCCGAGUAGCGGCGAGCGAAAGGGGACCGAUGGCCAAACCGUCGAGCGGGCGUACCCGGCAGGGGUUCCGCCGGCGGGGUUGCAGGGCCGCGCAUCCGGGGGCUGCCGCCCCCGGGCGCAGGUCCGGCUGGGGAGCGGAACGGCAUGGGAGGGCCGGCCGCAGCGGGUGACAGCCCCGUACGCGAACCCAGACCGGACGGCGCGACGCGGUCCCUGAGUAGGGCCGGGCACGUGAAACCCGGUCCGAACCUGGGUGGACCACCAUCCAAGCCUGAGUACUACCCUGUGACCGAUAGCGCACCAGUACCGUGAGGGAAAGGUGAAAAGCACCCCGGGAGGGGAGUGAAACAGUACCUGAAACCGUGCGCCCACGAGCAGUCGGAGCAACUUUCAGUUGUGACGGCGUGCCUUUUGUAGAAUGAGCCAGCGAGUCGCUGGCGCGGGGCGAGGUUAACCGAAAGGGAGCCGGAGCGAAAGCGAGCCUUAACAGGGCGACUUGAGUCCCGCGCCGCGGACGCGAAGCCGGGUGAGCUAUCCGUGGGCAGGCUGAAGCGGGGGUAAGACCCCGUGGAGGGCCGAACGCACGUCGGUUGAAAACGGCGGCGAUGACCUGCGGAUAGGGGUGAAAGGCCAAUCAAACCCGGAGAUAUCUCGUUCUCCCCGAAAUAGCUUUAGGGCUAGCGUCGCGCGUUCACCGCCGGAGGUAGAGCACCGGAUGGACGAGGGGGCUUCGCCGCCUACCGAAUCCAACCGAACUCCGAAUGCCGGCGGCCCAGAGCGCGGCAGUCAGAGCAUGUGGGCUAAGCUGUGUGCUCGAGAGGGAAACAGCCCGGACCGCCCGCUAAGGUCCCCAAGUUCCAGCCGAGUGGCAAAGGAUGUGCGUCCGCCCAGACAACCAGGAUGUUGGCUUAGAAGCAGCCAUGCAUUCAAAGAGUGCGUAACAGCUCACUGGUCGAGUGGACAUGCGCCGACAAUACACGGGGCUAAGCUGGACACCGAAGCGGCGGGAUUUUACCUAAGUAGAAUCGGUAGGGGAGCUUCCCAUGGGCGGAGAAGCCGGAGGGCGACCGACGGUGGAGCGCAUGGGAGUGAGAAUGCUGGCAUGAGUAGCGAGAGACGAGAGAGUAACUCGUCCGCCGUGAACCCGAGGUUUCCUGGGCAAGGCUAAUCCUCCCAGGGUCAGUCGGGGGCUAAGGCGAGGCCGGCAGGCGUAGCCGACGCGCAGCAGGCAGACAUUCCUGCACCGCGCACGCGGCGCUACGACCGACGGGGCGACGGAUGGGGGUGGCUCGGCGGGGUUCUGGACGUCCCCGUGAUGGAGCGCGGCCCGCGGACCAGGGAAAUCCGGUCCGCAUCGAGGGCGAGGCUCCGGACGAAGCGAUCAAGCGAAGCGAGUGAGCCCGAGGUCCCUAGAAAAACCCCUAGGCAGGCGCGUGCGCGCCCGUACCGCAAACCGACACAGGUGGGUGGGUAGAACAUACCGAGGCGAUCGGGUCAACCAUGGUCAAGGAACUCGGCACAAUGGCCCCGUAACUUCGGGAGAAGGGGUGCCCGCGCGUACGUGAACGGACUUGCUCCGGGAGCGGAGGCGGGCCGCAGUGGAGAGGCCCAAGCGACUGUUUACCAAAAACACAGGACUCUGCAGAAGCCGCAAGGCGACGUAUAGGGUCUGACGCCUGCCCGGUGCCGGAAGGUCACGCGGAGGAGUUAGCGCACCGCGCGAAGCCCCGAAGCCAAGCCCCGGUAAACGGCGGCCGUAACUAUAACGGUCCUAAGGUAGCGAAAUUCCUUGUCGGGUAAGUUCCGACCUGCACGAA